CCUACGGGUGGCUGCAGUGGGGAAUAUUGCACAAUGGGGGAAACCCUGAUGCAGCGACGCCGCGUGCGUGAAGAAGUAUCUCGGUACGUAAAGCUCUAUUAGCAGGGAAGAAAAUGACGGUACCUGACUCAGAAGCCCCGGAUAACUACGUGCCAGCAGCCGCGGUAAUACGUAGGGGGCAAGCGUUAUCCGGAUUUACUGGGCGUAAAGGGAGCGUAGGCGGCAGCACAAGUCAGGAGUGAAAUCCCGGGGCUUAACCCCGGAACUGCUUUGGAAACUGUGCGGCUGGAGUGCAGGAGGGGUAAGCGGAAUGUCUGGUGUAGCGGUGAAAUGCGUAGAUAUUAGGAGGAACACCGAUGGCGAAGGCGGCUUACUGGGCUGCAACUGACGUUGAGGCACGAAAGCGUGGGGAGCAAACAGGAUUAGAUACCCGAGUAGUC
This 440-nucleotide ribosomal RNA is filed under the name uncultured bacterium. Its description in RNAcentral is "partial 16S ribosomal RNA". It matches the Rfam family "Bacterial small subunit ribosomal RNA", at positions 338 to 795 of the family's 1533-position model. The record is from RNAcentral.